GAAGGAAAAAAAUUAAGGAUUUUUUAUUAUCCUUUUUUUCGGUUUAUAAUUUUUUCCAGCGGGUUUUUAACAAAACAUCGGAAUGGCGGUUAAAUGAUAUUCGAUGUGAUGUGUAUUAUUUUUUUGAUUUAAAAAAAAAAAAAAUAAAAUGGCAAAUGAUAUCAAUCUUGGGUGAAGAUUUGAAAAGUGUAUGAGAGGUGAAAUAACAAAAAAAAAAAAAAAAAAAUAUCCGAACGUCGUCAUCAUCCAUAAGCGUGUUGUGUGUGUAUAUCGUCAGAAAGGAUGUUUUUGUCAAUAAUAAUUUAUUGGAAAUUAAUUUAAUUUUGAUUUAAAUCAAAUCAAAUAUUUAGUGAAUUUGAAAAAGUGCAGUGAUUGUGUUCAAUAAAAUUAAAAAAAAAAAAAAUAUAUAUAUAAAAAAGGAUAACAGUGCAAACAAAAAAAAUCACAAAAAAAAUAUAUCUUUUUUAUUCAUCAUCAUCGUCAUCAUUAUUAUCUCCUCUUGAAAAUCGAUGUAAGAGGCAAACAUUUCUAGGAUUCAAGGACACAACUUUACAAAUUAAUUCAAUAUACCUACACCAACAUUUCGUUUGAAUCUUUUUUUUUAUUUUGAUUUUCUAAUUUAUAAUUUUUUCAUUUUGAAAAAAAAACUUGUAGUUUUUUUUUUAUAAAUAAUGCCGAAAUUCUUAUGAUGGAGACAUUCAUUGUCCUGGGACUAUGUUUUAUCCUAUACGAAGCAUUGGAUUUUUUUCAAGGAUGCAUGCAUAGUACACAACCAGCAACGUCCGAUCGAAUCGAAUCCUAUCGUCGUCAAAUAACUGAAGAAAAAAUUCGCGCUCUCCAACCGACAAGUCCGACAUCGAGUUUAUCAGCGUCGCCGAUAAUCGGCGAUAGUGUUGGUGGCAGUAGUCUAACUGUCUGUAAUAAUAUUGACAUUUCUAUAAAAUCACCGAAAUCAAGGCAUUUCGGUCGAUUUCCUGAAUCCUCAAUUGAUCAACGUUACGAAAUAAGUAAUAACUAUCAUCAGAGACAACAACAACAAAAAUUACUGCCAAACCAUCAGAAUCAUUCGAUAUUGUCAUCCUCGGCCUCGUUGCCACAUCAACAACAACAAGGACAUACCAUCACAAAUCCUACAGUACUCCCACCAUCAUCGAACAAUACAACGAAUUUCUCUUCACUUCCACGUGACUAUUAUUACUUGCAACAACAAAAGCAUAAAAAUACAACAAAAUUCCUGACGAAAUUUUCAUCAUCUUUGUCAGAUAAUCGAAUCUUUCCCGAAUUGGGUAGUGUCCUUGUUGGAGCAUCACCUGGUGUAGUAGGAACUACUGCUCCAGCAGCAACUUUUGAUAUUGUUCCGCCAACAGCAGCAGCAGCUCCUUUAGUCUUGGAUUUGAAAAGGGCAAUAUUUAGCGGAAAGAAGUCAUCAUCGCUCAAUGAGCCACGCAGUGCGAGACUAAAUUUUUGCGAAAGUAAUGAGGAAUAUUUGUCAUCGAGUGAUGACGAAGAAGAUGAUGAUGACGCCGAUGAAGGCGAUUACAGCUGUAGCAGUGAUAACGAUGAGCACGUGAAACGAAUUUAUAGUAUUUCGGAGAAAUUUUAAACUCCAUCAUAUCCAGUCGGGCGUGUGAGCUAUUUUUUUCUUAGUAUAAUAAACUCUCUCAAGUCGCGUUUAUUUUUUAUAUAUAAAUAAUAUGAACAAAAAAGAGUAUCUUGUCUCUGUAGAUACUAUAAAGAUAACAAAUUUUCUAAAAAAAAAGAAUUAAACUUUAAAAUAAAGAUUAAAUAACCAUCAAUACAGAUUCUGAUAAUAACAGAAAAUAAAAAAGGAAAUAAACUCCAUUAUAUUUUACUUCCACUAAAUAAAUUUUACAAAGUGAAAAUGAAAAACUAAUUAAAUUAAUUAAAAAUCUCUUCAAAGUGAAUUUAAAAAAUAUAUAUUCAGUGUAAUAGUUAGUGCAAUUUUCUACAAACAAAAAUAUAAAUUAUAAAAGAAAAUUGGAAAAUAAAUAAAAAAAAAUAAAAAAAAAACUUUUUACAUAAAGCAUCCUUCAUCCUUUAAUACUCCCGUCUGUCGUUUUAGAUAGUGCUGCAUAUACUCACACCCAUUAAACACAAUUCAUUAAUCCAAAUGUCCUUCAUAGAAGAUUCACCCCCAAUCGGGGUGAACAAAUCGCAUAACGUUAAAUCUAGUAAAAAUUAUCGUUCAGUGAAAUAAAUUUAAAAAGAAAAA
Episyrphus balteatus (marmalade hoverfly) is the source of this 2233-nucleotide RNA transcript. RefSeq lists it as uncharacterized. The transcript has 3 exons. NCBI's taxonomy places the organism in Eukaryota, Metazoa, Arthropoda, Insecta, Diptera, Syrphidae. The record is from RefSeq and is a predicted model, not a curated record.